GUCUGUUACCCGAAUAGUCUCCGUAUGGUGCGCGUGCCCUCCGAGCGAGUGUGCUAGGGCAGCAGACCGAA
This 71-nucleotide non-coding RNA is filed under the name unclassified sequences. RNAcentral's name for it is "DUF3800-IX RNA". It matches the Rfam family "DUF3800-IX RNA". Rfam says of the family: Actinobacteria, Firmicutes (1 example), Nitrospirae, Proteobacteria, Verrucomicrobia (1 example). Nearby to DUF3800 The record is from Rfam by way of RNAcentral.